RNAcentral lists this ribosomal RNA (433 nucleotides) under uncultured bacterium. RNAcentral's name for it is "partial 16S ribosomal RNA". It matches the Rfam family "Bacterial small subunit ribosomal RNA", at positions 29 to 507 of the family's 1533-position model. The record is from RNAcentral.
AACGAACGCUGGCGGCAUGCCUAACACAUGCAAGUCGAACGAGACCUUCGGGUCUAGUGGCGCACGGGUGCGUAACGCGUGGGAACCUGCCCUUAGGUUCGGAAUAACUCCCCGAAAGGGGUGCUAAUACCGGAUAAUGUCUUCGGACCAAAGAUUUAUCGCCCUUGGAUGGGCCCGCGUUGGAUUAGCUAGUUGGUAGGGUAAAAGCCUACCAAGGCGACGAUCCAUAGCUGGUCUGAGAGGAUGAUCAGCCACACUGGGACUGAGACACGGCCCAGACUCCUACGGGAGGCAGCAGUGGGGAAUAUUGGACAAUGGGCGAAAGCCUGAUCCAGCAAUGCCGCGUGAGUGGUGAAGGCCUUAGGGUUGUAAAGCUCUUUUACCCGGGAUGAUAAUGACAGUACCGGGAGAAUAAGCUCCGGCUAACUCCGUG